UACAGAGGGGGCAAGCGUUGUUCGGAAUUACUGGGCGUAAAGGGCGCGUAGGCGGCCUGCUAAGUCGAACGUGAAAUCCCUGGGCUCAACCCAGGAACUGCGUCCGAUACUGGUUGGCUUGAAUCCGGGAGAGGGAUGUGGAAUUCCAGGUGUAGCGGUGAAAUGCGUAGAUAUCGGGAGGAACACCAGUAGCGAAGGCGGCUCGCUGGGCCGUUCCUGACGCUGAGACGCGAAAGCGUGGGGAGCAAACAGG
RNAcentral lists this ribosomal RNA (253 nucleotides) under uncultured bacterium. Its description in RNAcentral is "partial 16S ribosomal RNA". It matches the Rfam family "Bacterial small subunit ribosomal RNA", at positions 524 to 776 of the family's 1533-position model. The record is from RNAcentral.